AUUUAUAUAAUAUAAAAAGUAUAUUUGACUUCCAAUCAUAAAGUCUAUCCUAAUAGUAUAAAUA
RNAcentral lists this transfer RNA (64 nucleotides) under Phaonia fuscata. RNAcentral describes it as "tRNA-Gly". The record is from RNAcentral. Lineage: Eukaryota; Metazoa; Arthropoda; Insecta; Diptera; Muscidae.